ACGUAGGUGGCAAGCGUUGUCCGGAAUUAUUGGGCGUAAAGCGCGCGCAGGCGGUCCUUUAAGUCUGAUGUGAAAGCCCACGGCUCAACCGUGGAGGGUCAUUGGAAACUGCCGGGCUUGAGUAUGGGAGAGGUGAGUGGGAUUUCCGGUGUAGCGGUGAAAUGCGUAGAUAUCGGAAGGAACACCUGUGGCGAAAGCGGCUCACUGGACCAUUACUGACGCUGAGGCACGAAAGCUAGGGGAGCAAACAGGA
This 253-nucleotide ribosomal RNA is filed under the name uncultured prokaryote. RNAcentral's name for it is "partial 16S ribosomal RNA". It matches the Rfam family "Bacterial small subunit ribosomal RNA", at positions 525 to 777 of the family's 1533-position model. The record is from RNAcentral.